GAUGAAGAACGUAGUGAAAUGCGAUAAGUAAUGUGAAUUGCAGAAUUCAGUGAAUCAUCGAAUCUUUGAACGCAUCUUGCGCUCCUUGGUAUUCUGAGGAGCAUGCCUGUUUGAGUGUCAUUAAAUUCUCAACCGCACUGACUUUGAAUUGGUGUGGCUUGGAUUUGGGGGGAAAAUUGUUGUGGGCUUUUUUGUAUAGUCUGCUCCCCUGAAAUUGAUUAGCGGUACCUUUGUGGAACUGUCUACAGGUGUGAUAAUUAUCUACAUCCUAGACAUCUGCUGGAAUGCUGCUUUCUAAACCUUACUUGUAUUGACAAUCUUGACCUCAAAUCAGGUAGGACUACCCGCUGAACUUAAGCAUAUCAAUAGCGGAGGA
This 376-nucleotide unclassified non-coding RNA is filed under the name soil metagenome. RNAcentral's name for it is "partial contains 5.8S ribosomal RNA, internal transcribed spacer 2, and large subunit ribosomal RNA". The stretch from base 1 to 120 matches the Rfam family "5.8S ribosomal RNA", at positions 35 to 154 of the family's 154-position model. The record is from RNAcentral.